CCUAUACUGUAUGACUCCAACAUCAAUUCUCCUGCCAUUGUCAGAUUGAAUGCUUAUCAGGCCUUCUUACUUGGAGCAAUGAAGUUCCACUGCUAUGUUGUUAGCAUUUCGGACAUAAUCAAUCCUAGUGCAAGCUGCCUUCUCAAGAUAAUUGAGUGGUCUUUCAGGUAUAGAUCUCAUCACCGCCUGUAGCAAUUUAAUCUCAUUUGUUCCACUACAUGAAAUGAUCAACACAAUGCAAGAGACAACUUGAAAAAAAAAAAUGUCAGCAAUCUUGAAAUGUGCAAUUUAAUUUUUUUUCCUUAGAAGCUGCUUGGCAUGUUUAAUGUGGGACAACUGGAAAUAAUUGAAGUCACCAUAAAGAAUCAGGAUCCUCUCCACUUUGUGGAUGAACUGGAUAAGUCAGUCUUGCAGUCACAGCCAUCUGUGUUGCAUGAUGGUCAAUUGCAUGGGCCACACUUGGAGCAUGCAGCGCACUAUACCAUGUACCAUAUGGGAUCCACGCAAUCAUGCUGUUAGUACAUGGAUGGCUGUGAUUGCAAGACUGUAACUGUCCAGUUCGGUGCUGAAUUGAAGAUGAUCCAAACUCUACUAGAUGUUUUGAUCAUAAUAUGUAGCCAACAUUUGGACAGAGGCAUGCAUAAUGAUACCACACCUUUAACUUGCACAUACCUCAUGGGUUUUGUAAACCAGAGCCUGUGAGAUUCAU
This 709-nucleotide long non-coding RNA is filed under the name Elaeis guineensis (African oil palm). RNAcentral's name for it is "long non-coding RNA (EGUI_LNC036877)". Lineage: Eukaryota; Viridiplantae; Streptophyta; Magnoliopsida; Arecales; Arecaceae. The record is from RNAcentral.